Molecule: long non-coding RNA, 1302 nt
Organism: Coturnix japonica (Japanese quail)
Lineage: Eukaryota; Metazoa; Chordata; Aves; Galliformes; Phasianidae
Source: Ensembl
CAGGAGUUUAAAGGGAAUUUCUAAGCUUUUAUGACUGGUCCCUGGAGAGCUCUUCCACUUUACAGAAGUUUUCUGCUUCUGCAGAAGAAUAUCUUACAACAUAUUAGGCACUGGAUGAAAGGAAAGAUACUACAUUGAUGAUGUAAUACUCUGUCCAUUCCCGGUUCCAAUAAUACACAAUGAGAACCCUGACUUGCCUCUAAUUUUUACAGAAAACUCCAUGAGCUCAGGGGAGAACCCUAAGAAAUCUGAUGGAACCUUUGGACAAAUUCUUGAAUACAGCAUAAACCAGAAAUGGUCAGAGAGCAUCAUUUAUGUAGACUUUACCCCCAGUCCUUGACGCUGCAUCUCCAAAAACAUUCCGUUUUUUAGACUUGAUUCCUUUACUUUGCUUAUAGAGUCUCAGCCCAAGUUUACUGAGGUCACUGACUGUUUUUCCUCUGCCUUCAGUGCAUUUGGUUUGAAAACCAGUUAAAUCAACCUGCUAUCAUCAGUAGUUCUCGUAAGAUAUAGAAGUCCAGAAACUGUUCAGAACCACCACUUCUGUGUAAUUUUCUGUCACAUCAAGUCUUGCAUGUUUUUAUCAGGUGCUUGUGUGUAGAGAGUGUUGAAAAUACUCCUCAUAGGUAAUAAUAUUAUAUUUGCUUUUUUAUUAAUGAUUAUUGGUAUGCUUGAAGUGCAUUUCAGGAUAAGGAGUACAAAGACUUCCUGAGACAUAAAAAUUGAUUUGAGAAUCUCAGUCCAUUUGCAGAAGAUUUCACUGUUACCAUAAAAGCUUGCCUUGAUUGUUUUGGCAGUACUGUUCAUCCACUUGUGAAGGUCUUUAAGCUGUAACUUUUUUUUUGCUUUAGCAGCUCAGCUUUUUUUUUCUUUUUACAUCAUCUUCCUGCUUUCCUAGCCUGUGCACGGAUUUAAGCAUAACUCAUCUGCAAAUCUAAAGAGAAAAGGAGAGAACAUUAAUCUAACCAGUUUUGAAAAGAAACCUGGACAGUUUUGUUUUUUUUUAAUCUUGCAUGGACUCUUCGACAUGUGUAGGUGGACCUACAGAACUGAGUGGGGGAAAUGGCAUGGCAAUAAGUCCCUAACUUAGAAUUCCCCUCUCUCACUUUCUUUCCGCACCCUUCACCUACCCCCUCUCUUCCUUUCAGAUGAUAUAAUUAAUUUCCUUUAGCUUUACUGUGCAUUUACAUUUUAGAAAGAUAAAAAGUACCAAUUUCACUUCUGGACAAAUAUGAAUUAAAUUGUCCUGUAGAAUGUGCCCAAAAUGGAAAAUAAUAAAAAGAAACACUAUAAAGUGUAUCA